Molecule: ribosomal RNA, 253 nt
Filed under: uncultured bacterium
Lineage: Bacteria
Description: partial 16S ribosomal RNA
Rfam family: Bacterial small subunit ribosomal RNA
Source: RNAcentral
UACGGAGGGAGCUAGCGUUUGUUCGGAAUUACUGGGCGUAAAGCGCACGUAGGCGGCUUUUUAAGUCAGGGGUGAAAUCCCGGGGCUCAACCCCGGAACUGCCCUUGAAACUGGAGAGCUAGAAUCUUGGAGAGGCGAGUGGAAUUCCGAGUGUAGAGGUGAAAUUCGUAGAUAUUCGGAAGAACACCAGUGGCGAAGGCGACUCGCUGGACAAGUAUUGACGCUGAGGUGCGAAAGCGUGGGGAGCAACAGG